This 495-nucleotide ribosomal RNA is filed under the name uncultured bacterium. RNAcentral's name for it is "partial 16S ribosomal RNA". It matches the Rfam family "Bacterial small subunit ribosomal RNA", at positions 28 to 507 of the family's 1533-position model. The record is from RNAcentral.
GACGAACGCUGGCGGCGUGCCUAAUACAUGCAAGUAGAACGCUGAAGGAGGAGCUUGCUUCUCCGGAUGAGUUGCGAACGGGUGAGUAACGCGUAGGUAACCUGCCUGGUAGCGGGGGAUAACUAUUGGAAACGAUAGCUAAUACCGCAUAACAGUAGAUGUUGCAUGACAUUUGCUUAAAAGGUGCAAUUGCAUCACUACCAGAUGGACCUGCGUUGUAUUAGCUAGUUGGUGAGGUAACGGCUCACCAAGGCGACGAUACAUAGCCGACCUGAGAGGGUGAGCGGCCACACUGGGACUGAGACACGGCCCAGACUCAUACGGGAGGCAGCAGUAGGGAAUCUUCGGCAAUGGACGGAAGUCUGACCGAGCAACGCCGCGUGAGGGAAGAAGGAUUUCGGAUCGUAAAGCUCGGUUGUAAGAGAAGAACGAGUGUGAGAGUGGAAAGUUCACACUGUGACGGUAUCUUACCAGAAAGGGACGGCUAACUACGUG